GCCUGGGUGGCUCAGUAGUUGAGUGCCUGUCUUUGGCUCAGGUUGUGAUUCUGGGAUCUUGGGAUCAAGUCCCAUAGCAGGCU
RNAcentral lists this transfer RNA (83 nucleotides) under Canis lupus familiaris (dog). It matches the Rfam family "tRNA". From Rfam's summary of the family: Transfer RNA (tRNA) molecules are approximately 80 nucleotides in length. Their secondary structure includes four short double-helical elements and three loops (D, anti-codon, and T loops). Further hydrogen bonds mediate the characteristic L-shaped molecular structure. tRNAs have two regions of fundamental functional importance: the anti-codon, which is responsible for specific mRNA codon recognition, and the 3' end, to which the tRNAs corresponding amino acid is attached (by aminoacyl-tRNA synthetases). tRNAs cope with the degeneracy of the genetic code in two manners: having more than one tRNA (with a specific anti-codon) for a particular amino acid; and 'wobble' base-pairing, i.e. permitting non-standard base-pairing at the 3rd anti-codon position. Lineage: Eukaryota; Metazoa; Chordata; Mammalia; Carnivora; Canidae. The record is from Rfam by way of RNAcentral. RNAcentral also lists the same sequence under 1 other name.